CUACAUUUAAAAAAAAUGAGAUCAUCUGAAGCAUUCAAAAGGCGGUACGAGCGAAUUAAUUUUAUUAGUCGUUGUCCGGUGCAUCUACGCUCAAUAUCCAAAAGAAACCACAGCAGGAUCGAUCCAACUGGAUUUUAUGUUAAGAAUAUUGUCUUUUAAAUUGGAAAAGAACAUCAACAAUAAUGAAGACUCUGACUAUCCUAUUCACUGUUGUAGUGAUAGCGGCCCUAUAUAAAUGCUGCGAAGCUAACAUGUAUGAUGAUGCAAUGAGAGCAGCGGGCGGCAUGGCCAGAGGCUUUGGAAUAAAUGGGGCUGGAACCAUACAAGCAAGCAUCCUUGUCGGAUCCAUCAUCUGUCUCGUUGUUACCACAUUUAUUUUUUAGAUAGUAGAAUUUGCAUUUUGUAAAAACUGUAUACUCAAUAUAAAUUUUACCAAAAAGCUUGUCAAAUUAAUUGCCAUCUCAAAUUAUUAUUACAAAAUUUUAUUAUUACUUUUACGAAAAUAAAGAAAAUUUAUUUAGCAUUUAUACUUUUGUUUGGGUGUGACUGUACCCAAAAGUUUCAGUAAUUUAUAGGCGCUUUGGAUAAAAGUUAUUUUCUCUCUAGAAUAUAUUCCAAGUGAUUGAGUUCUAUUUUUUGAUCACCCCUACUAAUUUUUGACAAAAAUUUGUAUCGCACUUCAAACUUUUUGGCAGUCUAUGAAAUUCAACAUAUUUUUUUUUAAUUUGGCACUGUUUGGUGUUGCUGAAGGGUUAUAGGUCCUUCCAGUUGGUAAGACUGGCCGCUCAUAGCAGCGAUGACAUAUAGAAGUUUAUUUAACCAAGAUCAUUAAAGCCAUUUUGUCUUUUGGGCAGGAAUUCAAAUUUCAAGCCCUAAAAUGGCAUAUAAAUUUUUGAAUUUCCGAAAUUGAAUUUUAAGUUUGUGUUUUCUUAUUAUGUAAUUUUGAGAGAACAGUUUAUUAGUAAAAAUUGUACUAUUGAUGAUGUUAUAUAUGACGGAUGCUUAAAGUAUGGUUUUGAAUAAACUGUUUUCUGUA
Molecule: long non-coding RNA, 1036 nt
Organism: Styela clava
Lineage: Eukaryota; Metazoa; Chordata; Ascidiacea; Stolidobranchia; Styelidae
Source: RefSeq, a predicted model, not a curated record